UGAAGAUUCACCUUGGAGCUAGAACAGGGACGUGCACAUGAUUAUACAGGGGCAGGGGCUCAAGUUUUUUCCAGUCAUUUAUACAAUAUGGAAAUUAAUGUGAAAUUAAACCACAAAUAUGUGUGAUGAACUGUUUUUAAAACUUAAACUUCAAAUAAAAAUUGUAAACUUCAAAACAUAUGCAAAUUUUUAACAAAGAACAUAGUAAUUUACCUCUAUUUACAUCAAAAUGCAGGCAAUGGCCCAGGCGUUCUUUGUAAAAUUAUUUACAAAACACUGUAUAGUCUCACAAAUGUCACUUUUUAUUUAUGCCACUACAAAAAAACAUGAUGUAAAUGAUGCAUGAUGUAAAACAUGAUGUAAAAAACUUGUGUAGAUCCUCCUCUAUGUCAGUCCAUGUGUAAUUUUUCCAUAAUUCUUUGUUUUUUGCAGCAUUUUUGUUAGUGUAACUGCAGAUUGUGCUGACAGUGUCUAUGGCACAAAAAAAAAAAAAAAUUAAAAUGCCUCAACAUGAACCCCUGGUGGUCUCUGAGGGUGAAACCUGCUAACUGCUGCAGCUCUGUCAGCUUCAGUCUCCCAUGCAGAGCUCUGAGCGCAUGUGUGGCUCUGCACCCUUAGCAGCGUUGCUAACUCCUCAGUAAGGAAAGCCUGCUUCAUGUCAGAGUCUCUAAACUCCAGAAGAAGUCGAUAAAAGUCCCUUUCUUUCUAAAAAAAAGUCGUUAGGGGGUCUGAAAAGUCAUUGAAUCUAACAACAAAGUCGCUAGGUUUGCAACUACGUGUCCCAGACUGCAUCCCUGCUGAGAGUCCCUCCCUCCCUUCUCAUGUUGCAGGAAGAACGUAAGCGCCCGCCCCUUGUCAAUCAGUCACCAUAUAAUUUUGGAUUGGUUGUUGUGGUGAAGUUUUCCACCAAUAGGAGAGAUGUUGUGGUGUGUUUUUUUUUCUUUUGGCAAGCCUUUUCCGCCUGUAAGACCUGUCGCUAAUGUCUGCAUGCUAUGUUUUCCUGUCUCAUACAGCGCGAUCGAGCGCCGAACGUGAUCAAAAUAAGCAGAAAAAAAGUAUCGCGGACAUAAUUUAUCAUAACUCUGGUUUUAUUUGGCCUAUCAACACAAUUUAAAAACUGGUAUAUAGGUUGAGGUCCUCACUUUUGAGAUAAGUUGAAACGGAGAGUCAACGAGGCUCCGUCUUGCAGCUACAUCCGGUUAAAUAUGUCAUGUGACUUGAACGCACACACAGACACACACACACGCACACACACACACACACACACACUCAGAGUCUGGUUUUUAGCACCUGCAAAAACAUGCUAUUUACAUAUUUGACAAGAAUGCAGAGGCUCCUUUUGCCCCUGAAAAAAAUCAAAUUUCAAACACAACUUGACUGGUCAUUUCUCCAAAAGACAACCAUGAAGCUCCAUCCAAACCUGAAGCAGGCAGUUGGUGCAUGUGUACAGUAACCUGAGGGGAGUGAGGUGAGUGCUUCUGAGGAGAACAUGAGCAGUGAAGAUUCACCUUGGAGCUAGAACAGAGACAUGCACAUGAUUAUACAGGGGCAGGGGCUCAAGUUUUUUCCAGUCGUUUAUACAAUAUGGAAAUUAAUGUGAAAUUAAAACACAAAGUAUUAAUAGAAAGGUAAUGACUGUCCUGUGUAGGUGACAGUGAUAUCCAAUAGGCUAAGCACUCACGAGGCUGGCUGUGGCAAGUGUAAGUGAAAGCAACACGCACUGGCAGGAAGAACAGCAAACGCCGAUGAAGGAAAAGGGUCUUUGCAGUGAUGGGCGUUAACAGAGAGGGCGAUGGCCAGAGGACACAAAUGGGACGGGGAGGCAGCACGUUGGGGGGGGGGGAGACGCGACACGGCUCGGGCCCGCCAGUGCCCCAACGGGGUCCUAGUUAGGGCCCGAGCGUAGCUGCUAAGCAGCUGCGAGAGCCCUCUUGUUCCUGAUGGAUUCUUCUUUCGUUAUUUUUCCUCCGCUUUAAACUGGAAAAUGGCCCACUUCCCACUGGCGAAAACUCAGGAAAUUUGGCAGGACGACCGGGCCUGGUGAAAAAUUUGAUAUUCUGAAGUCGCCCAAACAAAAAAAUGAAAAAUGGCUCCAUAGCGCCCCCUAUGGUGAAAACUCACCUGACGCCUGUACGCUUUGUCAAAAUGACACAAAAUUUGACACACAUGUGUAUCUCAAUAAGAUCUACAAAAAAGUCAGUGCGGGCGUAUCUGUCAAAUGUACGGUUAAAGGGCUAUUUCGCAUUUUUUGCCGAUCCGCACACAUUGGAAUUUCGCUAACUCCUCCGAAGGCUUUCGUUCCACCGGCACCAAAUUUGCUCAGGCCAAUCUACACCCCAUGGCCAUUAAAAGUUGUACAAAUCAUGACGCUGCACCCCACGGUUUAUGUUCUAGGGGGCGCCAAAAAUAACCCAAAAAUCCACAUUCUUAAAAGUCUUAUAACUUUUUAUUUUUGUCCUCACUGGCCUCCAAGUUUUCUAGGAUGAUGCUAUGUCCAGCCAUCAACACAUUUGUGAAGGAAUUUUUACUCCCCAAAAGAGCGCCCCCACAUGGCAGGAGAAAAAAGUCCAUUUUUUCUUGUCCCCUAAGGUGAAAAUACACAUUGUUGAGUGUCACACCUAUACGCUUUGUCAUAUUGACCCAAAAUUUGACAAUCACGUGUAUCUCAAUAAGAUCUACGAAAAAGUCAAUGGGCACGUAUCUGUAAAAUGUACGGUUAAAGGGUUAUUUCGCAUUUUUUCCCGAUCCGCACACAUUGGAAUUUCGCUAACUCCUCCGAAGGCUUUAGUUCCACCGCCACCAAAUUUGCUCAGGCCAAUCUACACCCCAUGGCCAUUAAAAGUUGUACAAAUCAUGACGCUGCACUCCACGGUUUAGGUUCUAGGGGGCGCCAAAGAUAACCCAAAAAUCCACAUUCUUAAUAGUCUUAUAACUUUUUAUUUUUGUCCUCACUGGCCUCCAAGUUUUCUAGGAUGAUGCAAUGUCCAGCCAUCAACACAUUUGUGAAGGAAUUUUUACUCCCGAAAAGAGCGCCCCCCCAUGGCAGGAGAAAAAAGUCCAUUUUUUCUUGUCCCCUAAGGUGAAAAAACACAUUGUUGACUGUCACGCCUAUACGCUUUGUCAAAAUGACACAAAAUUUGACACACACGUGUAUCUCAAUAAGAUCUACGAAAAAGUCAAUGGGCACGUAUCUGUAAAACGUACGGUUAAAGGGCUAUUUCGCAUUUUUUGCCGAUUCGCACACAUUGGAAUGUGGCUAACUCCUCCUAAGGCUUUCUUCCCACCAACACCAAAUUUGCUCAAGCCGAUCUACAUCCCAUGGCCAUUCAAAGUUGUAAAAAUCAUGCCGCUGCACCCCAUGGUUUACGUUCUAGGGGGCGCCAAAGAUGACCCAAAUAUCCACAUUCUUAAAAGAAUCCACCCCCCCCCCCCCAAGGCAGGAGAAAAAGUCCAGUUAACCCUGCCCAUCGCUCAAUGGCUCAAUCGCAUCGCUCUCCUGGCAACACCGUAAGGAGGAGCAACUUGCCAUUUGGAUAUAUCCUAGCUGUGUUUGUGCCCUCACUCAUGGUCCAGACUUUUUUCAAAUAGGACAUGUAGUUUGUCUGCAGCGACCGUUUUGGUAGAAACUGCACCUCCCAUUCAUUAUAAUGGGAAAUGACCACAGACAAGUGCGCACACCAUCUUUGGACCUUGAGUGUGAUGCGAUCGUGAGGGGGAGGCGGUCGCGCUGGGGGCGGCGCGACGCGGCUCGGGCCCGACAGUGCCCCACCGGGGCCCUAGUUAUUAGGGCCCGAGCGUAGCUGCUAAGCAGCUGCGAGAGCCCUCUUGUUCCUGCAUGUUUCCUUCUUUAGGGCCCGAGCGUAGCUGCUAAGCAGCUGCGAGAGCCCUCUUGUUCCUGCAUGUUUCCUUCUUUUGUUAUUAUUAGGGCCCGAGCGUAGCUGCUAAGCAGCUGCGAGAGCCCUCUUGUUCCUGCAUGUUUCCUUCUUUUGUUAUUAGGGCCCGAGCCAGCUGCAGAGCAGCCGGGCGUAGGCCCUGUUAUUCCUGUAGGGGUUUUUCUUUGUUUCUUUCUUUCUUCUUUUUCCUCCCCUUUGAACUGGAAAAUGGCCCACUUCCCACUGGCGAAAACUCAGGAAAUUUGGCAGGACGACCGGGCCUGGUGAAAAAUUUGAUAUUCCGAAGUCGCCCAAACAAGAAAAUGCAAAAUGGCUCCAUAGCGCCCCCUAAGGUGAAAAUUCACACUAUUGACUGUCACGCCUGUACGCUUUGUCAAAAUGACACAAAAAUUGACACACACAUGUAUCUCAAUAAGAUCUACAAAAAAGUCAGUGCGGGCGUAUCUGUCAAAUGUACGGUUAAAGGGUUAUUUCGCAUUUUUUGCCGAUCCGCACACAUUGGAAUUUCGCUAACUCCUCCGAAGGCUUUCGUUCCACCGGCACCACAUUUGCUCAGGCCAAUCUACACCCCAUGGCCAUUAAAAGUUAUUCAAAUCAUGACGCUGCACCCCACGGUUUAGGUUCUAGGGGGCGCCAAAGAUAACCCUAAAAUCCACAUUUUUAAAAGUCUUAUAACUUUUUAUUUUUCCCCUCACUGGCCUCCAAGUUUUCUAGGAUGAUGCAAUGUCCAGCCAUCAACACAUUUGUGAAGGAAUUUUUACUCCCCAAAAGAGCGCCCCCCCAUGGCAGGAGAAAAAAGUCCAUUUUUUUCUUGUCCCCUAAGGUGAAAAUACACAUUGUUGAGUGUCACGCCUGUACGCUUUGUCAAAAUGACACAAAAAUUGACACACACAUGUAUCUCAAUAAGAUCUACAAAAAAGUCCGUGCGCGCGUAUCUGUCUAAUGUAUGGUUAAAGGGUUAUUCCGAAUUUUUUGCCGAUUCGCACACAUUGGAAUUUCGCUAACUCCUCCGAAGGCUUUCGUUCCACCGGCACCACAUUUGCUCAGGCCAAAUUACACCCCAUGGCCAUUAAAAGUUAUUCAAAUCAUGACGCUGCACCCCACGGUUUACGUUCUAGGGGGCGCCAAAGAUAACCCAAAAAUCCACAUUUUUAAAAGUCUUAUAACUUUUUAUUUUUGUCC
Xyrichtys novacula (pearly razorfish) is the source of this 5075-nucleotide non-coding RNA. The record is from the annotation of a GenBank genome assembly. NCBI's taxonomy places the organism in Eukaryota, Metazoa, Chordata, Actinopteri, Labriformes, Labridae.